This 256-nucleotide ribosomal RNA is filed under the name uncultured bacterium. RNAcentral describes it as "partial 16S ribosomal RNA". It matches the Rfam family "Bacterial small subunit ribosomal RNA", at positions 96 to 353 of the family's 1533-position model. The record is from RNAcentral.
UGGCGGACGGGUGAGUAAUGUCUGGGAAACUGCCUGAUGGAGGGGGAUAACUACUGGAAACGGUAGCUAAUACCGCAUAACGUCGCAAGACCAAAGAGGGGGACCUUCGGGCCUCUUGCCAUCAGAUGUGCCCAGAUGGGAUUAGCUAGUAGGUGGGGUAACGGCUCACCUAGGCGACGGUCCCUAGCUGGUCUGAGAGGAUGACCAGCCACACUGGAACUGAGACACGGUCCAGACUCCUACGGGAGGCAGCAUG